UACAGAGGGUGCGAGCGUUGUCCGGAUUGACUGGGCGUAAAGCGCACGCAGGCGGUUGCGCGCGGGGGGUGUGAAAUCUGGCCGCUUAACGGCCAGGCGCCAUCCCAUACGGCGCGACUGGAGUGAUGCAGAGGUCGAUGGAAUUGCCGGUGUAGUGGUGAAAUGCGUAGAGAUCGGCAGGAACACCCAGGGGGAAACCAGUCGACUGGGCAUCUACUGACGCUGAGGUGCGAGAGCGUGGGGAGCGAACCGG
This 253-nucleotide ribosomal RNA is filed under the name uncultured bacterium. RNAcentral describes it as "partial 16S ribosomal RNA". It matches the Rfam family "Bacterial small subunit ribosomal RNA", at positions 524 to 776 of the family's 1533-position model. The record is from RNAcentral.